Molecule: long non-coding RNA, 3576 nt
Filed under: Salvia miltiorrhiza (redroot sage)
Lineage: Eukaryota; Viridiplantae; Streptophyta; Magnoliopsida; Lamiales; Lamiaceae
Description: long non-coding RNA (SMIL_LNC008284)
Source: RNAcentral
GGGAUGCAUCAACUAUUAUAAUUUAUUUUUUUAUUUUGGGAAAAAAUGUUGGGAAUGAAUCUGUAAAUGCUACAAGUAUGAAACAUCCCAAAUCAAAUCAACGUUGUAUUCCCGCCUGCGCGUGCGAUGUUGUAUUAUUUAGUGUUGAGGUCCCACACGCAAGACGUUUCUUGCCUGCGUGUGGUGAUUUUUUUCCAUCGUUUGGGUGGUGGUGAGAUCCCGAUUGCAUGCGAGUUGCAUAAUUGAUUAUACAGCCCCUACUACUAUAAAGUAUAAAGGUAGCUCAGUCGAAUAUGCAUUAGAGAGCUCUUCGAGCUUCCUUUACGGCUUUAGAGGGAAUUACAUGUUAUUGUUAAAUUGAUACUAUAAUCAAUAACGCAACUGUUGCAAUUAGAGGGAGAAGAACUUUGCUAUAGAAAAAAUAAACUAAAAGAAGGAUAUUGCUCUUACGAUUCCAAUACUUCCGAGGGUGGUGGAUUUUGGGGUGUUUCUCUCCCUCUCAAAUCCAGGACACACGCCACGCAGGAGCUUCUAAGGAUGCGUAAUCUGCCACAACGGAAACAUUUCGCUAGCAUCUCUCUCCACGUCUAUAAGGUCCAGCCGAGAGAAGNAAACAACCGUGCAUCAUAUAUAUUUGUUUAUUCACGCGUUUCUUCUACGCGUGCACUUUAUUAGGUGCGCUCUAGUUUUCGCAUAAAGUAUACAAGUUUUAAUUUUAUUUGCAUGACAUCUUGAUCUUAGCCUCUAAGAAUUAAAUUUAAUAAUGGAAAAAUGAAUUUUCAAAUUUUUUGAAAAAUGAAUUAUAUAGUUUCUUAAUUGUAUAGUAGUGGUAGUUAUGAUUCGACACGUAAUAUUGGUCCAUUAAAUUUAUGCGGAUUCAUAUUGAUUAUGAUGGACUUUUCCGAAUAAGUUCCGUAACGUUUCGAAAUAUCGUAGAAAUUGCCAAAUAGAUAGUCUGAUUCUGAGAUACUACAAUUUUACUUUAGAUUUUAUUAGUAAUAUUAGUAAUUAGAAAUAUGAAACAAAUAAAUCGUCAGCACCUUAGAGUAAGUAAUUUGAUAGUAGUCAAUAUUCUUCAAAUCCCUUCCUUUGAAUUAAAAAACUAAAACUAGUUUUAGCUCAUUGUGGCGAUUAAAUUGCUUGUUAUCGUUAUAUGACUGAUUUUUACUGAAUACGGUUGAUUUAUACUUUCAUAAAUAAGUGUUGCACUUGCACCAACACAAUGCUUAUUGCAAAUAUAUAUUGAUUUUUUACGAAAAUAUAAAUAUAUUUCAUACACGUGGACACAUUUUUUUUUUUUAAUGUAUUUUUAGGCAAUAAAUAAUGUAUUUUUUUUACUGAGAAUAUUAAAAAAUAAAAUAAUAGAUGCAAAGAUGGACAUUCUUUUUAAAAGUUUUAAUAAACUGAAUAAAUAUAUAUUUUCAAUAAACAAUUUUACCCAUUUAGAAUUUAUUUAUACACUUUUCUAUUAUAUUAAUAUGAUUAGUGCAUCCAAUCUUUUGGGCAGCUUUGGGCAGCCAAACUUCCCUAAUCUUCAUUUUUGAAAAAAGCAAUCGAACUUUUUGCUUGACCUUCUCGUUCAUUAUCAUUCUUGAUUAUCAUGACUUGUAAAAAUAAGCAGAAUGGCCGGUUAAUUAAUAUUAAGUGUANCUUUGGGCAGCCAAACUUCCCUAAUCUUCAUUUUUGAAAAAAGCAAUCGAACUUUUUGCUUGACCUUCUCGUUCAUUAUCAUUCUUGAUUAUCAUGACUUGUAAAAAUAAGCAGAAUGGCCGGUUAAUUAAUAUUAAGUGUCCAUGAAUGAUAUAAUAAGCUCCCACCCAGUUCACGUAGUGGAGUCCGCAAUAAAAAAAUUGAUUAUCCUGUUUAUAUGCAUACCCCAUUAAUCAUUUUAUAAUCCAUCCAUUAAUUAGUCAAAUCUUGUGCAAUUGUAAUCAGGGAAUGUUGAUCGAAUCCUUCAAGACUUGCGUGGAAUAAUUAUAGUAUUAGGGUGUGCUUGCUUUGAGGUAUAAGGGAGGAAUAAACUACAUUUAUCAUUUUAUACUUCGUUUGCUUUGAUGUAUAAAAAAAUGUGGUCUUGGGUGAAACCGGUUACACCGUACAACCGGGUUGCACCCUCACUUAAAUCAUGUUUUGUACCAUAACUUGAAUUCAUAUCAUGAUCAUAACCGUAUAAAUAACACUAUUUUAGAUGCGGGUCAACCCAGUUGCAUGGUGCAACUGGUUGCACCCAUAUUUUUGUGAUAAAAAAAUUCGGGCACGUUGUAUAAUUUUUCGGACAACCCCUUAUCUAUUGGGAAAUGGAGAAUUUUAUACCUAACAGAGGGUGGUAUAAUUUUAUACUACCUUAUAAAGAAUGAAUUAAUAUAUUAUCCUUCGAACCAAAUAAGAUAUAGUAACAAAUAUCAUCCUCACUUUAAAUAAGAAGUUUAUACCUCAUUAUAUUAUCCCUUCAUUUAUAGGGAUAAAAAACAAACACACCCUUAGUAUAUUAUUUGGUGCAAACUUGAUCAUGUGGUUGGCUAGGGGGUCCAAAUAUUAUUUGGUGCAAACUUGAUCAUGUGGUUGGCUAGGGGGUCCAAAUAAGUCAUCCAUGAGGGAAUUAUUAAACAAAUAUAUCCGUAAAACUGAUCAUUAAAAAAAUGCAACAAAUAUCUAUCAAGAACAUGUUGAAGAUAUCUACAGAAUGCUAUAACUGAGGAGAGAAUACUAAAAAUAUGACACAAACUUUACAGAAGUAUGUGAUGCAUCGACUAUUAUAAUUUAUCUUUUUUAUUUUGAGAAAAAUAUAUUAUAAUUUAUAUAGAAUAUAAGAUGUUGGGAAAGAAUCUGUAAAUGCUACAAGUAUGAAACAUCCCGAAUCAAAUCAACAUUAACAAGAUAAUAAUUAUCCUAUAGCCAAGAGUAUUUUAGGCAUAUUGUGGUGCAUAGAAUAAACCGAUUAUGAAUAAGGUAUCCCAUGAGGGCUCAACCCUAGAGUUCUUACGGCUUUAAGGGAAUUACAUGUUAUUGUUAAAUUGAUACUAUAAUCAAUAACGCAACUGUUGCAAUUAGAGGGAGAAGAACUUUGCUAUAGAAAAAAUAAACUAAAAGAAGGAUAUUGCUCUUACGAUUCCAAUACUUCCGAGGGUGGUGGAUUUUGGGGUGUUUCUCUCCCUCUCAAAUCCAGGACACACGCCACGCAGGAGCUUCUAAGGAUGCGUAAUCUGCCACAACGGAAACAUUUCGCUAGCAUCUCUCUCCACGUCUAUAAGGUCCAGCCGAGAGAAGACGUGGGUGUGUUCACAGCAGCCACACCAGUCUGAAUCACAAGAUUAAAAUUGAUGAAACUUGCCAAGAAAUAUCCUAAACGUGUUACCGGCAUGGACUGCUUUUAAGAUAUGACAGAAACCUAAAUUCUAAUAUCAACAAAGAGCCAUACUGUCACUGACAGGCAAGCAUGGGAACAGGUGUAUCAUUUCUUUGUUUUUUUCUUUCACAUAGAUGGGCAUAAGAUAUUUAGCCUUAUUGCACAAAUUCAUCAAGAACUGCUUAUUCAUCAUAUAUGUAGUGAAGAAGAGUGGAAACAAUAAGCAUUAA